AUUGAACGCUGGCGGCAUGCCUUACACAUGCAAGUCGAACGGUAGAGUAGCAAUACUUGAGAGUGGCGAACGGGUGAGUAAUGCAUCGGAACAUGCCCAGUCGUGGGGAUAACGUAGCGAAAGUUACGCUAAUACCGCAUACGAUCUAUGGAUGAAAGCGGGGGACUCGCAAGAGCCUCGCGCGAUUGGAGUGGCCGAUGUCAGAUUAGGUAGUUGGUGGGGUAAAAGCCCACCAAGCCAACGAUCUGUAGCUGGUCUGAGAGGACGACCAGCCACACUGGGACUGAGACACGGACAAGACUCCGACGGGAGGCAGCAGUGGGGAAUUUUGGACAAUGGACGAAAGUCUGAUCCAGCAAUGCCGCGGGCAGGACGAAGGCAUUCGGGUUGUAAACUGCUUUUGUACGGAGCGAAAAGCUUUGGAUUAAUACUCCGAGGUCAUGACGGUACCGUAAGAAUAAGCACCGGCUAACUACGUGCCAGCAGCCGCCGUAA
RNAcentral lists this ribosomal RNA (495 nucleotides) under uncultured bacterium. RNAcentral describes it as "partial 16S ribosomal RNA". It matches the Rfam family "Bacterial small subunit ribosomal RNA", at positions 30 to 523 of the family's 1533-position model. The record is from RNAcentral.